This 1296-nucleotide ribosomal RNA is filed under the name Campylobacter coli. RNAcentral's name for it is "partial 23S ribosomal RNA". It matches the Rfam family "Bacterial large subunit ribosomal RNA", at positions 288 to 1599 of the family's 2925-position model. Lineage: Bacteria; Pseudomonadati; Campylobacterota; Epsilonproteobacteria; Campylobacterales; Campylobacteraceae. The record is from RNAcentral.
GCACUGGGGGUUGUAGGACUGCAAUGUGCAAGAGGUGAGUUUAGCAGAACAUUCUGGAAAGUAUAGCCAUAGAGGGUGAUAGUCCCGUAUGCGAAAAACAAACCUUAGCUAGCAGUAUCCUGAGUAGGGCGGGACACGAGAAAUCCUGUCUGAAGCUGGGUCGACCACGAUCCAACCCUAAAUACUAAUACCAGAUCGAUAGUGCACAAGUACCGUGAGGGAAAGGUGAAAAGAACUGAGGUGAUCAGAGUGAAAUAGAACCUGAAACCAUUUGCUUACAAUCAUUCAGAGCCCUAUGUAGCAAUACAGGGUGAUGGACUGCCUUUUGCAUAAUGAGCCUGCGAGUUGUGGUGUCUGGCAAGGUUAAGCAAACGCGAAGCCGUAGCGAAAGCGAGUCUGAAUAGGGCGCUUAGUCAGAUGCUGCAGACCCGAAACGAAGUGAUCUAUCCAUGAGCAAGUUGAAGCUAGUGUAAGAACUAGUGGAGGACUGAACCCAUAGGCGUUGAAAAGCCCCGGGAUGACUUGUGGAUAGGGGUGAAAGGCCAAUCAAACUUCGUGAUAGCUGGUUCUCUCCGAAAUAUAUUUAGGUAUAGCGUUGUGUCGUAAUAUAAGGGGGUAGAGCACUGAAUGGGCUAGGGCAUACACCAAUGUACCAAACCCUAUCAAACUCCGAAUACCUUAUAUGUAAUCACAGCAGUCAGGCGGCGAGUGAUAAAAUCCGUCGUCAAGAGGGAAACAACCCAGACUACCAGCUAAGGUCCCUAAAUCUUACUUAAGUGGAAAACGAUGUGAAGUUACUUAAACAACCAGGAGGUUGGCUUAGAAGCAGCCAUCCUUUAAAGAAAGCGUAAUAGCUCACUGGUCUAGUGAUUUUGCGCGGAAAAUAUAACGGGGCUAAAGUAAGUACCGAAGCUGUAGACUUAGUUUACUAAGUGGUAGGAGAGCGUUCUAUUUGCGUCGAAGGUAUACCGGUAAGGAGUGCUGGAGCGAAUAGAAGUGAGCAUGCAGGCAUGAGUAGCGAUAAUUAAUGUGAGAAUCAUUAACGCCGUAAACCCAAGGUUUCCUACGCGAUGCUCGUCAUCGUAGGGUUAGUCGGGUCCUAAGUCGAGUCCGAAAGGGGUAGACGAUGGCAAAUUGGUUAAUAUUCCAAUACCAACAUUAGUGUGCGAUGGAAGGACGCUUAGGGCUAAGGGGGCUAGCGGAUGGAAGUGCUAGUCUAAGGUCGUAGGAGGUUAUACAGGCAAAUCCGUAUAACAAUACUCCGAGAACUGAAAGGCUUUUUGAAGUCUUCGGAUG